GUUGAAAUUGACAUCUGUUCCUCUGUCGGGGGCCUGCGGGGAGAACGUUAACUUUGGGGUUAGAACCGGGAGAAGAUUCGCUGGCGAAGGGUCUCAUCGCAAGAACAUCUCCACUUCUCCUUUUCAUGCUGAUGUCCCUUUAUUUGCACAAAGGCCUGAUUUGCACUGAGAUGUUACAACCCGCAGGAAAUUAUACUUCACCCAUCACCACAGGAGCUGAGUUCUGAUGGCACAGAAUGAAUUAUGAAAUACUAAUUUUUUAUGGGGUUGUAAUGAACAGGAAAUUUAAGCUUAUGACUCAAUGA
Molecule: long non-coding RNA, 305 nt
Organism: Chelonia mydas (Green sea turtle)
Lineage: Eukaryota; Metazoa; Chordata; Testudines; Cheloniidae
Exons: 3
Source: RefSeq, a predicted model, not a curated record